RNAcentral lists this ribosomal RNA (351 nucleotides) under uncultured fungus. RNAcentral describes it as "SSU rRNA". It matches the Rfam family "Eukaryotic small subunit ribosomal RNA", at positions 1326 to 1698 of the family's 1831-position model. The record is from RNAcentral. Lineage: Eukaryota; Fungi.
CGAUAACGAACGAGACCUUAACCUGCUAAAUAGCCUGGCCGGCUUUUGCUGGUCGNUGGCUUCUUAGAGGGACUGUCAGCGUCUAGCUGACGUAAGUUUGAGGCAAUAACAGGUCUGUGAUGCCCUUAGAUGUUCUGAGCCGCACGCGCGUUACACUGACAGAGCCAGCGAGUUCAUAACCUUGGCCGGAAGGUCUAGGUAAUCUUUUGAAACUCUGUCGUGCUGGGGAUAGAGCAUUGCAAUUAUUGCUCUUCAAAGAGGAAUUCCUAGUAAGCGUGAGUCAUCAGCUCGCGUUGAUUACGUCCCUGCCCUUUGUUCACACCGCCCGUCGCUACUACCGAUUGAAUGGCU